This 98-nucleotide ribosomal RNA is filed under the name Enterobacter asburiae. RNAcentral describes it as "partial 23S ribosomal RNA". The stretch from base 1 to 85 matches the Rfam family "Bacterial large subunit ribosomal RNA", at positions 2841 to 2925 of the family's 2925-position model. Lineage: Bacteria; Pseudomonadati; Pseudomonadota; Gammaproteobacteria; Enterobacterales; Enterobacteriaceae. The record is from RNAcentral.
AAGACGACGACGUUGAUAGGUCGGGUGUGUAAGUGCAGCGAUGCGUUGAGCUAACCGAUACUAAUGAACCGUGAGGCUUAACCUUACAACGCCGAAGC